This 556-nucleotide small RNA is filed under the name Pongo abelii (Sumatran orangutan). RNAcentral's name for it is "retained intron". Lineage: Eukaryota; Metazoa; Chordata; Mammalia; Primates; Hominidae. The record is from RNAcentral.
GUAUUAACUGGCACACACAAGGCGGCUACUGGUUCUCGGCCCAAGUGUGGCCUGCUCCUACCUCUCCACUCCAGGGCUGAUUUGUGGGCAGAUUCAAGUCUCGCAAAGAGCGGGAAGCUGAGCUUGGAGCCAAAGCCAAGGAAUUCACCAAUGUUUAUAUCAAAAACUUUGGGGAAGAGGUGGAUGAUGAGAGUCUGAAAGAGCUAUUCAGUCAGUUUGGUAAGACCCUAAGUGUCAAGGUGAUGAGAGAUCCCAAUGGGAAAUCCAAAGGCUUUGGCUUUGUGAGUUACGAAAAACACGAGGAUGCUAAUAAGGCUGUGGAAGAGAUGAAUGGAAAAGAAAUAAGUGGUAAAAUCAUAUUUGUAGGCCGUGCACAAAAGAAAGUAGAACGGCAGGCAGAGUUAAAACGGAAAUUUGAGCAGUUGAAACAGGAAAGAAUUAGUCGAUAUCAGGUAAGGUGGUCUUGGCCCAGCCUAGCAAAGGGAUUUGCUGUGAAAUAUUUGCAGAACACCCUUAUGUUUAGCGGGCUUUCUUUUUGGGGACUUGUAGUGUGUUC